AACCUGCUAAAGCAAAACAACACGCGAACAUGUACUUACAUUCGGGGAUCCAAGUGCGUCCACUUCGGCGGAUGCUCUUUCUUCCCAACGUUGAGAUGGCUCGGUGUGUGUUCGCAUACCGACGAAGUAUUCGUUGAGAGUUGGCACUCACUGAGCUUUCUUGACAUAACAAAAACYCGGCGUGAACUGCGCCAAGGAACAUAAUAAGAGCGUGCAUUAUCCCGGUGUUUGCAUUUUUGCUUCACUCGGGAUGGAUGUCAUCUUCUUGAUGAGUUUAUAAUGACUCUCGGCAACGGAUAUCUCGGCUCUUACAUCGAUGAAGAACGUAGCAAAAUGCGAUACUUGGUGUGAAUUGCAGAAUCCCGUGAACCAUCGAGUCUUUGAACGCAAGUUGCGCCCGAAUCCAUCCGGUCGAGGGCACGUCUGCCUGGGUGUCACGUACACACGUCUCUCACAAACCUUUCCCUUCACGGGUGAAGGGUCUUGUGUGAGCAGAGUUUGGUCUCCCGUGCUUUGAUUGUGCGGCUUACCUAAAAAUUGAGAGCCAGUGAUGAAACUUCACGUCUAGUGGUGGUUAAGGAACCUUCAUGGGUCAAAACCAGUUCGCGGCGUGAAUGUUUGUCACUUGGAAAGUUCUCUAUCGACACCUCGAGCGUCUUUUAAUGACCGUUCUACUGUCGCGACCCCAGGUCAGGCGGGAUUACCCGCUGAAUUUAAGCAUAUCA
This 725-nucleotide unclassified non-coding RNA is filed under the name Saxifraga taylorii. RNAcentral's name for it is "sequence contains ITS1, 5.8S rRNA gene, ITS2". The stretch from base 282 to 437 matches the Rfam family "5.8S ribosomal RNA". Lineage: Eukaryota; Viridiplantae; Streptophyta; Magnoliopsida; Saxifragales; Saxifragaceae. The record is from RNAcentral.